AGCGAACGCUGGCGGCAGGCCUAACACAUGCAAGUCGAACGAACUCUUCGGAGUUAGUGGCGGACGGGUGAGUAACACGUGGGAACGUGCCUUUAGGUUCGGAAUAACUCAGGGAAACUUGUGCUAAUACCGAAUGUGCCCUUCGGGGGAAAGAUUUAUCGCCUUUAGAGCGGCCCGCGUCUGAUUAGCUAGUUGGUGAGGUAAAGGCUAACCAAGGCGACGAUCAGUAGCUGGUCUGAGAGGAUGAUCAGCCACAUUGGGACUGAGACACGGCCCAAACUCCUACGGGAGGGAGCAGUAGGGAAUCUUGCGCAAUGGGCGAAAGCCUGACGCAGCCAUGCCGCGUGAAUGAUGAAGGUCUUAGGAUUGUAAAAUUCUUUCACCGGGGACGAUAAUGACGGUACCCGGAGAAGAAGCCCCGGCUAACUUCGUG
RNAcentral lists this ribosomal RNA (433 nucleotides) under uncultured bacterium. RNAcentral describes it as "partial 16S ribosomal RNA". It matches the Rfam family "Bacterial small subunit ribosomal RNA", at positions 29 to 507 of the family's 1533-position model. The record is from RNAcentral.